Molecule: long non-coding RNA, 69 nt
Organism: Perognathus longimembris pacificus (Pacific pocket mouse)
Lineage: Eukaryota; Metazoa; Chordata; Mammalia; Rodentia; Heteromyidae
Exons: 3
Source: RefSeq, a predicted model, not a curated record
CUGAGCCAUAACAUUUCUUCUUAACCCUACUAGAACGCAAGAUCCUAGGCUAUAUACAAUUACGAAAAG